Molecule: non-coding RNA, 109 nt
Filed under: Bifidobacterium longum NCC2705
Lineage: Bacteria; Bacillati; Actinomycetota; Actinomycetes; Bifidobacteriales; Bifidobacteriaceae
Also listed under: 1 other name
Description: TPP riboswitch aptamer (THI element)
Rfam family: TPP riboswitch aptamer (THI element)
About the family: Vitamin B(1) in its active form thiamin pyrophosphate (TPP) is an essential coenzyme that is synthesised by coupling of pyrimidine and thiazole moieties in bacteria. The previously detected thiamin-regulatory element, thi box was extended, resulting in a new, highly conserved RNA secondary structure, the THI element, which is widely distributed in eubacteria and also occurs in some archaea.
Source: Rfam by way of RNAcentral
ACUGUAAUGCAGGGGAACUCGCAUGUGGUUCGCGAGUUGAGAAAGGCCUGAGCCUGACCCUUAGAACCUGUUGGUUAAGACCAUCGUAGGGAGCAGUAAAUGAGCAAUA